Non-coding RNA from Pelobates cultripes (western spadefoot toad), 167 nucleotides. The record is from the annotation of a GenBank genome assembly. Lineage: Eukaryota; Metazoa; Chordata; Amphibia; Anura; Pelobatidae.
GGUCAGCUGACACAUCCCUGCCAAUCUCCGGCAGACCCUCCCUCCCAGAACCUCCUGCUUCCUGGACAGCAUCCAUGUUGAAGGCAGAUUCAACAUGGAUGCUGUCCAGGAAGUAGGAGGGUCUGGGAGGGAGGGUCUGCCGGAGAUUGGCAGGGAUGUGUCAGCUG